This 1029-nucleotide long non-coding RNA is filed under the name Bemisia tabaci. RNAcentral's name for it is "lncRNA ENSSSA1NGG004640". The record is from RNAcentral. Lineage: Eukaryota; Metazoa; Arthropoda; Insecta; Hemiptera; Aleyrodidae.
CUCUGCUCGUCAUUUUAAAAAUUUCUUGGUGGGUGGCACCUUUCAUGAACCUCAUCAUCGCCUCGUGCAUUAACUGUGUGUAAGCUGGUGAAAAUAACGGUCGGAAUCUUCGUUGAAAGUCGUCCUGGCCUCUCAAUACAUGGGCAAGUACUCAAAUGUCUACGUUUCCUUACCUAAAGCAGUUACAGAUCGCUUACAGUUCUUUUUCUUUAACUUUCCCAUCAAGGUCUGCUAUGGAUUAUUUUAUCAACCCUCCUGUGGUUAGGGGUUCGAGGCGAUGAGGCGGCUCCCCUCUCUUCCGGACCAUGCAACGAAAUUAAGUUCAAGAACGGGGACAUUGUUACAUUCUCAUCCGUAUGGUCGAAAACAAGCGUAAAAGCUGAACCGAGGCAUUGGCUUUUUGCCCUCACGGACAUGCAUUUGUGGCACAUAGCCAAGGACUUCUAUUUUUUCCCCCAGAAAGGAUUUGUAGACAUUAUGAAGCCAGAGGACCGCAUGUCAGGGAAACGAACCUGUGUCGUCCGCCGGCGAGUUGAGGGGCGCCCCUACACUGGUAAUGCAGGCAAACUUCUUGCGAUGAGAAUGCGUUACAUGCCUGUAGUAUUCAACUUUCUCACCUGCAGCUGUCGUCACUACAUGGACUACAUUGUGUACGGGCGGAGCUACGGCGAUUAUCGGACGUGGCACUACCUGCCGGCCAGCAACGACUGCCCCGUCCAUCGGCAUUUUGACAGCGAGACAGACGUCACUUCAGCGGACUUCAAACUCGCUCGCAAAGACGCAAGAGGGAACCUUAGGUCCGUGGAGUGGCCCACGGGAUGGACUCAGGAACGGAUGGAGGAAGUGCUCUCCGGGUCCGCCGGGUCCCGGCUCUGCCCGCUAGCACCCACCAUCGAGGCCGCCAUCGCCCUCGUGAAAAAUGUUUGGGAGAAGAAGGUAUCUCAAAUCAAAAACAUGGGGAUCUUCUCCUGUUUCAUGGACCCCCGGGAAAAUAAUGUGAAAGGCGAACCAGAAUUAACCUACCCCUAA